RNAcentral lists this ribosomal RNA (301 nucleotides) under uncultured bacterium. RNAcentral describes it as "partial 16S ribosomal RNA". It matches the Rfam family "Bacterial small subunit ribosomal RNA", at positions 509 to 808 of the family's 1533-position model. The record is from RNAcentral.
CAGUAGCCACGGUAAUACGUAGGGGGCUAGCGUUAUCCGGAUUUACUGGGCGUAAAGGGUGCGUAGGUGGUCCUUCAAGUCGGUGGUUAAAGGCUACGGCCCAACCGUAGUAAGCCGCCGAAACUGGAGGACUUGAGUGCAGGAGAGGAAAGUGGAAUUCCCAGUGUAGCGGUGAAAUGCGUAGAUAUUGGGAGGAACACCAGUAGCGAGGGCGGCUUUCUGGACUGCAACUGACACUGAGGCACGAAAGCGUGGGUAGCAAACAGGAUUAGAUACCCGAGUAGUUCCUGUCUCUUAUACC